Molecule: non-coding RNA, 204 nt
Organism: Paramuricea clavata
Lineage: Eukaryota; Metazoa; Cnidaria; Anthozoa; Malacalcyonacea; Plexauridae
Source: the annotation of a GenBank genome assembly
AAAAAUUUUUUGACCCCUAAAAUGGUACACUGACCGAAAUUUUUUUGGCGACGGGGGGGGGUGGAGGUCGCCACAAUAAAUUCCGGAAAAAAAUGUUUCUCAUCACAAACCCUGUGUUACAUUUUUUCUGCAGUGCCCCCCCAGAAAUUGAGAGCCAGCUACGGGCUUGAUUUAAAACGAACUUAACGUUGGAAAUAAAACGAA